This 28-nucleotide small RNA is filed under the name Bombyx mori (domestic silkworm). RNAcentral's name for it is "ovarian small RNA-8823". The record is from RNAcentral. Lineage: Eukaryota; Metazoa; Arthropoda; Insecta; Lepidoptera; Bombycidae.
UGGUACUACCCAUAUAGGUGCUGACCAU